GUCUAUGGCCAUGCUAUUCUGAACAAGCCCAAUCCCAUCUGACCAUCUGAUCUCGGAAGCUAAGCAGGGUUGGGCCUGGUUAGUACUUGGAUGGGAGACCACCUAGGAAGACCAGGUGCUGUAGUUG
This 127-nucleotide ribosomal RNA is filed under the name Pteropus alecto (black flying fox). The record is from RNAcentral. Lineage: Eukaryota; Metazoa; Chordata; Mammalia; Chiroptera; Pteropodidae.